This is a long non-coding RNA of Daktulosphaira vitifoliae (grape phylloxera), 510 nucleotides long. RefSeq lists it as uncharacterized. The transcript has 3 exons. NCBI's taxonomy places the organism in Eukaryota, Metazoa, Arthropoda, Insecta, Hemiptera, Phylloxeridae. The record is from RefSeq and is a predicted model, not a curated record.
UUGGAGAAGCAACAGUUGACGAUUGUGUGGCUCACGCGCGCUGAACUCACAGCGGCGUAUAUCAGUCAGUUGUCACGCGGCAAUCGGUCUAGUACGAAGUCUCACGUGUAGUUCUGCCGUCGCGAGUUCUGCCAGUGUAAAUGUUUUCGGGUACUAGUUGACGUAGUAUUAUUAGGCAUUACACUGAAUGUAUUACGAUACCUUUUUGGAUCGCUCUUCCUUAACUGUCAACAAGGACAUUCGAUGAUUGGCGUUUUGGACGGACCUAACGAUAAAAUGACUGAUGUUUAAAUGUGCAAUACUCGUAGUCAUCUGCAACCGAUUUGGAUACCAGAGAGUAUCAGGAAUACAUUUUACUCAAAAGUAGCAUCGACUGGUAGAAACAAUGAGUACUACUACACCAGGUCCUAUGGGCAUUUCUGCCGAGUUAAUAAGGGAAUUAAGAUUUGAAUGUGAAAGUCGAUUAAAUGCAACGGUUCACGAUAGUAAUAACGCAAAGAUACAUUAGUC